CCACUGGUGGUCCACUGGUUAGCAUUCUGGACCUGUAACCGGAGGGUUGCCGGUUUGAGCCCCGACCAGUGGG
Molecule: transfer RNA, 73 nt
Filed under: Alosa alosa (allis shad)
Lineage: Eukaryota; Metazoa; Chordata; Actinopteri; Clupeiformes; Clupeidae
Description: tRNA-OTHER
Source: RNAcentral